AGUGAACGCUGGCGGUAGGCCUAACACAUGCAAGUCGAACGGCAGCACAGGAGAGCUUGCUCUCUGGGUGGCGAGUGGCGGACGGGUGAGGAAUACAUCGGAAUCUACUCUGUCGUGGGGGAUAACGUUGGGAAACUUACGCUAAUACCGCAUACGACCUACGGGUGAAAGCAGGGGAUCUUCGGACCUUGCGCGAUUGAAUGAGCCGAUGUCGGAUUAGCUAGUUGGCGGGGUAAAGGCCCACCAAGGCGACGAUCCGUAGCUGGUCUGAGAGGAUGAUCAGCCACACUGGAACUGAGACACGGUCCAGACUCCUACGGGAGGCAGGAGUGGGGAAUAUUGGACAAUGGGCGCAAGCCUGAUCCAGCCAUACCACGUGGGUGAAGAAGGCCUUCGGGUUGUAAAGCCCUUUUGUUGGGAAAGAAAUCCAGCUGGCUAAUACCCGGUUGGGAUGACGGUACCCAAAGAAUAAGCACCGGCUAACUUCGUGCCAGCCGCCGCGGUAA
This 506-nucleotide ribosomal RNA is filed under the name uncultured bacterium. RNAcentral describes it as "partial 16S ribosomal RNA". It matches the Rfam family "Bacterial small subunit ribosomal RNA", at positions 29 to 523 of the family's 1533-position model. The record is from RNAcentral.